RNAcentral lists this ribosomal RNA (431 nucleotides) under uncultured bacterium. Its description in RNAcentral is "partial 16S ribosomal RNA". It matches the Rfam family "Bacterial small subunit ribosomal RNA", at positions 29 to 507 of the family's 1533-position model. The record is from RNAcentral.
AACGAACGCUGGCGGCAGGCUUAACACAUGCAAGUCGAGCGCCCCGCAAGGGGAGCGGCCGACGGGUGAGUAACGCGUGGGAACGUACCUUUUGGUUCGGAACAACUUCGGGAAACUGGAGCUAAUACCGGAUAAGCCCUAACGGGGAAAGAUUUAUCGCCGAAAGAUCGGCCCGCGUCUGAUUAGCUAGUUGGUGAGGUAACGGCUCACCAAGGCGACGAUCAGUAGCUGGUCUGAGAGGAUGAUCAGCCACACUGGGACUGAGACACGGCCCAGACUCCUACGGGAGGCAGCAGUGGGGAAUAUUGGACAAUGGGCGCAAGCCUGAUCCAGCCAUGCCGCGUGAGUGAUGAAGGCCUUAGGGUUGUAAAGCUCUUUUGUCCGGGAAGAUAAUGACUGUACCGGAAGAAUAAGCCCCGGCUAACUUCGUG